This 749-nucleotide non-coding RNA is filed under the name Ptosima chinensis. Lineage: Eukaryota; Metazoa; Arthropoda; Insecta; Coleoptera; Buprestidae. The record is from RNAcentral.
CUCGUUUUUGUACAUGUAAAUUUUUGUGUUUGUUAAUUUUUCUAAAUGGUGGAUUAGGUUUUUGGAGAUCGCAGUAUUUAGUUUUAAUUUUUAGGUAAUUCUUGAUUUAGAAAUUGAUAUUAUGUUUUGGCUAAACUUGUGCCAGCAGCCGCGGUUACACAAGUAAUGCUACUAAAUUUUUUUGGCGUGUAGUUAGUUGAUUCUUUUCCAUUUAAAGUUGAUUUUUUAAGGUGAAAUUUUAAUUUUAAUGAUAUGUGGUUUGGAGGUAAAUUGAGGCUACGAAAUUUUUUUAUAAACUAGGAUUAGAUACCCUACUAUUUUUAACGUUAAUUUUAUACGCCCUAUUAGUAAUAGAUAUGUUCUUGAAAAUAAAAGAUUUUGGCGGUAUUUUAGUCUUUUCAGAGGAACCUGCCCUGUAAUUGAUAAUCCACGAUUAUUUCUACUUUUUUUAAUUAGUUUGUAUAUCGUCGUAGUUGAGUGUUUUAGAAGAAGAUUAAUGUUCAAUAAUUUUUAUAGGAGAAUAAAUCAGAUCAAGAUGCAGUUUAUAGAAAAGCUUGAGGUGGGUUACAUUGAUUUUAUUUUUGGUUUAAAUUUUUCAAAGGUUUAAUAAAAUGGAUUUGAAAGUAAUUAUGCAUAUAUAUACAUGAUGAUUUAGCUCUAGAAUAUGCACAUAUCGCCCGUCGCUUUCAUUUAAGGUGAAAUAAGUCGUAACAGAGUAGGCGUACUGGAAAGUGUGCCUAGUAUGAUUA